This is a non-coding RNA of Cervus elaphus (red deer), 72 nucleotides long. Lineage: Eukaryota; Metazoa; Chordata; Mammalia; Artiodactyla; Cervidae. The record is from the annotation of a RefSeq genome assembly.
UUAUAGGUGGCUCAGAGGUUAAAGCGUCUGCCUGUAAUGCGGGAGACCUGGGUUCGAUCCCCAGCUUGGGAA